CUACGGGCCGCUGCAGUGGGGAAUAUUGCACAAUGGAGGAAACUCUGAUGCAGCAACGCCGCGUGGAGGAUGACACUUUUCGGAGCGGAAACUCCUUUUAUAUAGGAAGAAGAUGACGGUACUAUAUGAAUAAGCGCCGGCUGACUCCGUGCCAGCAGCCGCGGUAAUACGGAGGGCGCAAGCGUUACUCGAAAUCACUGGGCGUAAAGAGCGUGUAGGCGGAUUAAAAAGUCAGAAGUGAAAUCCUAUAGCUUAACUAUAGAACUGCUUCUGAAACUCUUAAUCUAGAAUAUGGGAGAGGUAGAUGGAAUUUCUGGUGUAGGGGUAAAAUCCGUAGAGAUCAGAAGGAAUACCGAUUGCGAAGGCGAUCUACUAGAACAUUAUUGACGCUGAGACGCGAAAGCGUGGGGAGCAAACAGGAUUAGAUACCCCGGUAGUC
This 439-nucleotide ribosomal RNA is filed under the name uncultured bacterium. RNAcentral's name for it is "partial 16S ribosomal RNA". It matches the Rfam family "Bacterial small subunit ribosomal RNA", at positions 339 to 795 of the family's 1533-position model. The record is from RNAcentral.